CCUACGGGAGGCAGCAGUAGGGAAUUUUCGUCAAUGGGCGCAAGCCUGAACGAGCGAUGCCGCGUGAGUGAAGAAGGCCUUCGGGUCGUAAAGCUCUGUUGCGGGGGAAAAAAGGCAGCAUCAGGAAAUGGGUGCUGACUGAUGGUGCCCCGCCAGAAAGUCACGGCUAACUACGUGCCAGCAGCCGCGGUAAUACGUAGGUGGCGAGCGUUAUCCGGAAGGAUUGGGCGUAAAGGGUGCGCAGGCGGUCCUGCAAGUCUGGAGUGAAACGCAUGAGCUCAACUCAUGCAUGGCUUUGGAAACUGGAGGACUGGAGAGCAGGAGAGGGCGGUGGAACUCCAUGUGUAGCGGUAAAAUGCGUAGAUAUAUGGAAGAACACCAGUGGCGAAGGCGGCCGCCUGGCCUGUUGCUGACGCUGAUGCACGAAAGCGUGGGGAGCAAAUAGGAUUAGAUACCCUAGUAGUC
Molecule: ribosomal RNA, 465 nt
Filed under: uncultured bacterium
Lineage: Bacteria
Description: partial 16S ribosomal RNA
Rfam family: Bacterial small subunit ribosomal RNA
Source: RNAcentral